ACAAUGGCAGUUAAGAUGAAGGGUACCCAAAUUAACUCUCAUCUUGGUACAAUGUAGCUUCUAUAAAGUACAAACAAGACAACCUUCUGUCAAUGAGAUCCGUCAACGGCUUGCCUUCACAUUUAGAUCAGUUACUAUUUGUUGUUAUGGCGAAUAAUCACUUUAGAUACCUUUUUUAAUACUUGUCAUCAAAAUGUUGUAUUUCUCACUUUAAAUACUCCUCUUAUUUUAACUUGCGUCCCAGCACCCCAAAAGAGCACCAAAUAAAAAGCAAUCUCUUAGGUGUCUCAAGGAUAAUCACCAAUCUUCAGUGUGUAUGCAAAAUGUAAGUAGUUC
RNAcentral lists this long non-coding RNA (336 nucleotides) under Nicotiana benthamiana. RNAcentral's name for it is "long non-coding RNA (NBEN_LNC001931)". The record is from RNAcentral. Lineage: Eukaryota; Viridiplantae; Streptophyta; Magnoliopsida; Solanales; Solanaceae.